UAUUUUCUCAUUAUGCAUAGCUUUGAGAAGUUUAUAAUUUUUCACCGAGCAGUAGCUCUAAAUGGGGCUGUGUUGCGAGUGCGCCAACUUAUCUCAACAAUUCCAAAUGGGACUAAAAUUGUUCCAUUUUUCCUUCUGUAACUCUUAUACUCCUAUACUCUUGAAAACCUGAUAACAAAACAAUUUCCCAACAUUUCUGUUUUCUUGCAUAACUUCAC
This 218-nucleotide long non-coding RNA is filed under the name Vigna radiata. RNAcentral's name for it is "long non-coding RNA (VRAD_LNC003820)". The record is from RNAcentral. Lineage: Eukaryota; Viridiplantae; Streptophyta; Magnoliopsida; Fabales; Fabaceae.